This 497-nucleotide ribosomal RNA is filed under the name uncultured bacterium. Its description in RNAcentral is "partial 16S ribosomal RNA". It matches the Rfam family "Bacterial small subunit ribosomal RNA", at positions 28 to 507 of the family's 1533-position model. The record is from RNAcentral.
GAUGAACGCUGGCGGCGUGCCUAAUACAUGCAAGUCGAGCGAACGGACGAGAAGCUUGCUUCUCUGACGUUAGCGGCGGACGGGUGAGUAACACGUGGAUAACCUACCUAUAAGACUGGGAUAACUUCGGGAAACCGGAGCUAAUACCGGAUAAUAUUUUGAACCGCAUGGUUCAAAAGUGAAAGACGGUCUUGCUGUCACUUAUAGAUGGAUCCGCGCUGCAUUAGCUAGUUGGUAAGGUAACGGCUUACCAAGGCAACGAUGCAUAGCCGACCUGAGAGGGUGAUCGGCCACACUGGAACUGAGACACGGUCCAGACUCCUACGGGAGGCAGCAGUAGGGAAUCUUCCGCAAUGGGCGAAAGCCUGACGGAGCAACGCCGCGUGAGUGAUGAAGGUCUUCGGAUCGUAAAACUCUGUUAUUAGGGAAGAACAUAUGUGUAAGUAACUGUGCACAUCUUGACGGUACCUAAUCAGAAAGCCACGGUUAACUACGUG